Molecule: ribosomal RNA, 2879 nt
Filed under: Ralstonia pseudosolanacearum GMI1000
Lineage: Bacteria; Pseudomonadati; Pseudomonadota; Betaproteobacteria; Burkholderiales; Burkholderiaceae
Description: Ralstonia solanacearum GMI1000 ribosomal RNA-hypothetical 23S rRNA
Source: RNAcentral
AGGAUCAAGCCGCACGGGCAAUUAGUACUGGUUAGCUGAACGCAUUACUGCGCUUCCACACCCAGCCUAUCAACGUCCUGGUCUCGAACGACCCUUCAGGGAGAUCAAGUCUCCAGGGAAUCCUCAUCUUCAGGCGAGUUUCCCGCUUAGAUGCUUUCAGCGGUUAUCUCUUCCGUACAUAGCUACCCUGCGAUGCCUCUGGCGAGACAACAGGUACACCAGCGGUACGUCCACUCCGGUCCUCUCGUACUAGGAGCAGCCCCCGUCAAGAUUCCAACGCCCACGGCAGAUAGGGACCAAACUGUCUCACGACGUUUUAAACCCAGCUCACGUACCUCUUUAAAUGGCGAACAGCCAUACCCUUGGGACCGGCUACAGCCCCAGGAUGAGAUGAGCCGACAUCGAGGUGCCAAACACCGCCGUCGAUAUGAACUCUUGGGCGGUAUCAGCCUGUUAUCCCCAGAGUACCUUUUAUCCGUUGAGCGAUGGCCCUUCCAUACAGAACCACCGGAUCACUAUGUCCUGCUUUCGCACCUGCUCGACUUGUCGGUCUCGCAGUUAAGCACGCUUUUGCCAUUGCACUUUAGGUACGAUGUCCGACCGUACCAAGCGUACCUUCGAACUCCUCCGUUACACUUUGGGAGGAGACCGCCCCAGUCAAACUGCCUACCAUGCACUGUCCCCGACCCGGAUUCACGGGCCAAGGUUAGAACCUCAAACAAACCAGGGUGGUAUUUCAAGGUCGGCUCCACCGAAACUAGCGUCCCGGUUUCAAAGCCUCCCACCUAUCCUACACAGAUCGGUUCAAAGUCCAAUGCAAAGCUACAGUAAAGGUUCAUGGGGUCUUUCCGUCUAGCCGCGGGGAGAUUGCAUCAUCACAAACACUUCAACUUCGCUGAGUCUCGGGAGGAGACAGUGUGGCCAUCGUUACGCCAUUCGUGCAGGUCGGAACUUACCCGACAAGGAAUUUCGCUACCUUAGGACCGUUAUAGUUACGGCCGCCGUUUACCGGGACUUCAAUCAAGAGCUUGCACCCCAUCAUUUAAUCUUCCGGCACCGGGCAGGCGUCACACCCUAUACGUCCACUUUCGUGUUUGCAGAGUGCUGUGUUUUUAUUAAACAGUCGCAGCCACCAUUUUAUUGCAACCCCUUCAUCCUUCUGGCGCGAGCCAGUCAAACUACAAGGGCGUACCUUAUCCCGAAGUUACGGUACCAAUUUGCCGAGUUCCUUCUCCCGAGUUCUCUCAAGCGCCUUAGAAUACUCAUCUCGCCCACCUGUGUCGGUUUGCGGUACGGUCUCGUAUGACUGAAGCUUAGAGGCUUUUCUUGGAACCACUUCCAAUUGCUUCGCGACCUAACGUCGCUCGCCCCACACCCUUGAAUCACGCACCCGGAUUUGCCUAAGUGCCAUCUCCAAUGUAGGGACCGGGACUUCCAACACCCGGACAACCUUCCGCGAUCCGUCCCCCCAUCGCAUCAUACGACGGUGCAGGAAUAUUAACCUGCUUCCCAUCAGCUACGCAUCUCUGCCUCGCCUUAGGGGCCGACUCACCCUACGCCGAUGAACGUUGCGUAGGAAACCUUGGGCUUACGGCGAGGGGGCCUUUCACCCCCUUUAUCGCUACUCAUGUCAGCAUUCGCACUUCUGAUACCUCCAGCAUCCUUUACAAGACACCUUCACAGGCUUACAGAACGCUCUCCUACCAUGCACUUACGUGCAUCCGCAGCUUCGGUGACUGGCUUAGCCCCGUUACAUCUUCCGCGCAGGACGACUCGAUCAGUGAGCUAUUACGCUUUCUUUAAAGGGUGGCUGCUUCUAAGCCAACCUCCUGACUGUUUUAGCCUUCCCACUUCGUUUCCCACUUAGCCAAUCUUAGGGACCUUAGCUGGCGGUCUGGGUUGUUUCCCUCUUGACACCGGACGUUAGCACCCGAUGUCUGUCUCCCGUGAUUGCACUCUUCGGUAUUCGGAGUUUGCUAUGGCGGGGUAAUCAGCAAUAGACCCCCCAACCAUGACAGUGCUCUACCCCCGAAGGUGAGACACGAGGCACUACCUAAAUAGUUUUCGGAGAGAACCAGCUAUUUCCAAGUUUGUUUAGCCUUUCACCCCUAUCCACAGCUCAUCCCCUAACUUUUCAACGUUAGUGGGUUCGGUCCUCCAGUACGUGUUACCGCACCUUCAACCUGGCCAUGGAUAGAUCACUUGGUUUCGGGUCUACACCCAGCGACUGAACGCCCUAUUCGGACUCGCUUUCGCUACGCCUUCCCUAAUCGGUUAAGCUUGCCACUGAAUGUAAGUCGCUGACCCAUUAUACAAAAGGUACGCCGUCACCCGUUUCCAGGCUCCGACUGUUUGUAUGCAUGCGGUUUCAGGAUCUAUUUCACUCCCCUCCCGGGGUUCUUUUCGCCUUUCCCUCACGGUACUGGUUCACUAUCGGUCGAUCACGAGUAUUUAGCCUUGGAGGAUGGUCCCCCCAUCUUCAGACAGGAUUUCACGUGUCCCGCCCUACUUGUCGUACACCUAGUUCCACAAUACUGUUUUCGCGUACGGGGCUAUCACCCACUAUGGCCGGACUUUCCAUUCCGUUCCGCUAACAAUACUGCUAAAGAGUACAAGGCUGUUCCCAUUUCGCUCGCCACUACUUUGGGAAUCUCGGUUGAUUUCUUUUCCUGCAGCUACUUAGAUGUUUCAGUUCACUGCGUUCGCCUCCCUUGCCUAUGUAUUCAGCAAGGGAUGACCCAUACGGGCCGGGUUUCCCCAUUCGGACAUCUGCGGAUCAAAGCUCGUUUGCCAGCUCCCCGCAGCUUUUCGCAAGCUACUACGUCCUUCAUCGCCUGUGAUCGCCAAGGCAUCCACCACAUGCACUUAUUCGCUUGACC